UCGGAUUGUAGUCUGCAACCCGACUCCGUGAAGCUGGAUUCGCUAGUAAUCGCGCAUCAGCCAUGGCGCGGUGAAUACGUUCCCGGGCCUUGUACACACCGCCCGUCAAGCCAUGGAAGCCGGGGGCGCUUGAAGUGCGUUGCCGCAAGGCGCGCCCUAGAGCGAAACCGGUGACUGGGGCUAAGUCGUAACAAGGUAUC
RNAcentral lists this ribosomal RNA (200 nucleotides) under uncultured bacterium. Its description in RNAcentral is "partial 16S ribosomal RNA". It matches the Rfam family "Bacterial small subunit ribosomal RNA", at positions 1293 to 1500 of the family's 1533-position model. The record is from RNAcentral.